This is a small nuclear RNA of Vulpes vulpes (red fox), 62 nucleotides long. The record is from Ensembl. NCBI's taxonomy places the organism in Eukaryota, Metazoa, Chordata, Mammalia, Carnivora, Canidae.
AAAGGGUAUCAUGGCCCCUGAGCAAGGAUGACACACAAAUCUGUGAUGCAUUCCAUAUUUUU